GGCAUCAUGAGGUAGCAAUACCUUGAUGGCGACCGGCGCACGGGUGAGUAACGCGUAUGCAACCUGCCCGAUACCGGGGUAUAGCCCAUGGAAACGUGGAUUAACACCCCAUAGUACUUUUAUCCUGCAUGGGAUAGGAGUUAAAUGUUUAAGGUAUCGGAUGGGCAUGCGUCCUAUUAGUUAGUUGGCGGGGUAACAGCCCACCAAGACGAUGAUAGGUAGGGGUUCUGAGAGGAAGGUCCCCCACAUUGGAACUGAGACACGGUCCAAACUCCUACGGGAGGCAGCAGUGAGGAAUAUUGGUCAAUGGACGAGAGUCUGAACCAGCCAAGUCGCGUGAGGGAAGACUGCCCUAUGGGUUGUAAACCUCUUUUAUAAGGGAAGAAUAAGUUCUACGUGUAGAAUGAUGCCUGUACCUUAUGAAUAAGCAUCGGCUAACUCCGUGCCAGCAGCCGCGGUAAUACGGAGGAUGCGAGCGUUAUCCGGAUUUAUUGGGUUUAAAGGGUGCGUAGGCGGUUUAUUAAGUUAGUGGUUAAAUAUUUGAGCUAAACUCAAUUGUGCCAUUAAUACUGGUAAACUGGAGUACAGACGAGGUAGGCGGAAUAAGUUAAGUAGCGGU
Molecule: ribosomal RNA, 619 nt
Filed under: uncultured bacterium
Lineage: Bacteria
Description: bacterial SSU rRNA
Rfam family: Bacterial small subunit ribosomal RNA
Source: RNAcentral